GAGCUUGCUCCCGGAUGUUAGCGGCGGACGGGUGAGUAACACGUGGGUAACCUGCCUGUAAGACUGGGAUAACUCCGGGAAACCGGAGCUAAUACCGGAUAGUUCCUUGAACCGCAUGGUUCAAGGAUGAAAGACGGUUUCGGCUGUCACUUACAGAUGGACCCGCGGCGCAUUAGCUAGUUGGUGGGGUAAUGGCUCACCAAGGCGACGAUGCGUAGCCGACCUGAGAGGGUGAUCGGCCACACUGGGACUGAGACACGGCCCAGACUCCUACGGGAGGCAGCAGUAGGGAAUCUUCCGCAAUGGACGAAAGUCUGACGGAGCAACGCCGCGUGAGUGAUGAAGGUUUUCGGAUCGUAAAGCUCUGUUGUUAGGGAAGAACAAGUGCGAGAGUAACUGCUCGCACCUUGACGGUACCUAACCAGAAAGCCACGGCUAACUACGUGCCAGCAGCCGCGGUAAUACGUAGGUGGCAAGCGUUGUCCGGAAUUAUUGGGCGUAAAGGGCUCGCAGGCGGUUUCUUAAGUCUGAUGUGAAAGCCCCCGGCUCAACCGGGGAGGGUCAUUGGAAACUGGGAAACUUGAGUGCAGAAGAGGAGAGUGGAAUUCCACGUGUAGCGGUGAAAUGCGUAGAGAUGUGGAGGAACACCAGUGGCGAAGGCGACUCUCUGGUCUGUAACUGACGCUGAGGAGCGAAAGCGUGGGGAGCGAACAGGAUUAGAUACCCUGGUAGUCCACGCCGUAAACGAUGAGUGCUAAGUGUUAGGGGGUUUCCGCCCCUUAGUGCUGCAGCUAACGCAUUAAGCACUCCGCCUGGGGAGUACGGUCGCAAGACUGAAACUCAAGGAAUUGACGGGGGCCCGCACAAGCGGUGGAGCAUGUGG
This 883-nucleotide ribosomal RNA is filed under the name Bacillus sp. enrichment culture clone E6. RNAcentral describes it as "bacterial SSU rRNA". It matches the Rfam family "Bacterial small subunit ribosomal RNA", at positions 76 to 944 of the family's 1533-position model. Lineage: Bacteria; Bacillati; Bacillota; Bacilli; Caryophanales; Bacillaceae. The record is from RNAcentral.